GUACUAAUCUCUGUGCAUUUGUCGCCCCUGAAUCAUCUCUUUCCAAUAAUCUAAUAGUCCCUUUUUUCACUUCUCAUCAUUCUCGAAUCUCAAUAAACAGUCAAAUAUUGACUGCAAUUAUCUCAAAAAAUCCCCAAGUUUUCACUAAUCAAUCCCUAUAACCCCAUGAAAAUGUCUCUCAAAUUCUCCUUUUCUCUCAUUGUAUUGUCUCUAAUCUCUGUCCUCUGUGCAGCCGGAGACAGCAGCGUCGCCCGCGGCGGCGAUGACGUCGGAGGAGCGACGGUGGAGUUAUGGUGUGUGGCAAAGAACAACGCUGAUGAUGCUGCUCUACAGUCCGCUAUAGAUUGGGCUUGUGGGCCAGGUGGUGCUAGUUGUGGGCCUAUUCAGACCGGUGGGCCGUGCUACGACGCUUCCGAUAUCCUGCGAACUGCGUCGUUUGCCUUCAAUGAUUACUUCCUUAAACAUGGCAUGACCGAUGAUAGCUGUAAUUUCGCAAACUCAGCUGCUCUCACUUCUCUUAAUCCCAGUCAUAAUGGUUGUAAAUUUCCAUCGAGCUUGAGUAGGAGUAGUGGAAGCUUUAAUGGAUCAAUAACUACAGGGUUAGGUUCAGCUUCUGAAGAUAUAAGUAGCAGCACUCCUACACUCAGUAGUUGGAUUUUCAACUUGAUGGCUAUUAAUCUGUUGUCUGCAACUCUACUAAUUUUGUGAGGUCAUACAAGUUUUAACUCCAUUGUAUGUACUGUAGAGCAUAAACAAGUUUUUCGUAGAGAAGUUCAGAAGCUCCAGGUAGCUGAUGUUGUUCCACGGGCUCUCCAGCAUUAAACAAUUGCACAUGUUUCUGGCUCCUCAUCAUCAGCUCCUCGAUCUGGACGCUCGUCAAGAUCUAUAUCCAUUACAGGAAUA
Molecule: RNA transcript, 903 nt
Organism: Nicotiana tabacum (common tobacco)
Lineage: Eukaryota; Viridiplantae; Streptophyta; Magnoliopsida; Solanales; Solanaceae
Gene name: PLASMODESMATA CALLOSE-BINDING PROTEIN 5-like
Source: RefSeq, a predicted model, not a curated record